AGUGAACGCUGGCGGUAGGCCUAACACAUGCAAGUCGAACGGCAGCACAGUAAGAGCUUGCUCUUACGGGUGGCGAGUGGCGGACGGGUGAGGAAUACAUCGGAAUCUACUUUUUCGUGGGGGAUAACGUAGGGAAACUUACGCUAAUACCGCAUACGACCUACGGGUGAAAGCAGGGGAUCUUCGGACCUUGCGCGAUUGAAUGAGCCGAUGUCGGAUUAGCUAGUUGGCGGGGUAAAGGCCCACCAAGGCGACGAUCCGUAGCUGGUCUGAGAGGAUGAUCAGCGACACUGGAACUGAGACACGGUCCAGACUCCUACGGGAGGCAGCAGUGGGGAAGAUUGGACAAUGGGCGCAAGCCUGAUCCAGCCAUACCGCGUAGGUGAAGAAGGCCUUCGGGUUGUAAAGCCCUUUUGUUGUGAAAGAAAAGCAGCAGGUUAAUACCCCGCUGUUCUGACGGUACCCAAAGAAUAAGCACCGGCUAACUUCGUG
This 492-nucleotide ribosomal RNA is filed under the name uncultured bacterium. RNAcentral describes it as "partial 16S ribosomal RNA". It matches the Rfam family "Bacterial small subunit ribosomal RNA", at positions 29 to 507 of the family's 1533-position model. The record is from RNAcentral.